UCCUUCAAUGAUAGGCCAUGGACAAGGC
This 28-nucleotide small RNA is filed under the name Bombyx mori (domestic silkworm). Its description in RNAcentral is "ovarian small RNA-28023". Lineage: Eukaryota; Metazoa; Arthropoda; Insecta; Lepidoptera; Bombycidae. The record is from RNAcentral.